Hyaena hyaena (striped hyena) is the source of this 396-nucleotide long non-coding RNA. RefSeq lists it as uncharacterized. The record is from RefSeq and is a predicted model, not a curated record. The transcript is spliced from 3 exons. Lineage: Eukaryota; Metazoa; Chordata; Mammalia; Carnivora; Hyaenidae.
AGAGUGGGGAAAAGUGCGAAAAGAAGCAACAGCCGCUCCACCCGGGACCAGAAAAGUGGCCAGCCGCGUCCCGGCCGCCCGCCCUGCGCCGGGGAUGCGGCGGCUAACGGUCCAAGGAGGCAGCAGGGGCGGCAGGAGCCGCUAGGCGGAGAGAGACCAGCUCAAUAGUGACUCUGGACAUGGGAUUCACAAUGAGACAAAAGGGGCCAAUUGUCGUUCAACUGCUGCAGUUCCACCAAAUUCUACAGUUGCUGAGUCAGGAAGGAAACAUGACUACAGAGUGAUCCAGAACCAACAGCUGUCUUUAGGACCCACACCAACUUUUCUAAUAAAUCCUCCCAGGAGGACUACCACUGUGCAUGAAGGUGGUAUGGACUCAGAAGAGGUAUGAGGAGA